RNAcentral lists this long non-coding RNA (1846 nucleotides) under Lytechinus variegatus (green sea urchin). Its description in RNAcentral is "uncharacterized LOC121428983". Lineage: Eukaryota; Metazoa; Echinodermata; Echinoidea; Temnopleuroida; Toxopneustidae. The record is from RNAcentral.
AAAACGUCAUUUGGCUGAAAUCCCAAACAUUCUAUUUCGAAAUUUACGUGUAGUGGUUUUCUCUUUACAACACUCCCUUCUUGUCAAAAGGCAUAUAAAUACUCUGGAAUUCAGCUGAUCUCAUCAGAGAUUGAAGGAAUUUUUGUGAUAGAAGAUUGCAUUUAUUUUCAUCAAACACUUGGGUCUACUUGUUGCAACACACCAAUAAUGGCUGGCUUGGAUAUUCCUGGGAUUAUUAAGACUUUGGUCAAUGAAAGUGGACAGUUUAAUCUGCAUGGACGAACCAUUGUCUAUAAAGCAGAAGGGAGAGUACACAAGUUUAAAUGGGUCUAUGACGGAACAGCAUGGGAUGUAGCCAGUGGAAUCAGCGUGAAAGAUAGACACUACUCUAGUCGACAUGGAGCAAUCGAGCAUGCUGUCGCGAAGCUUUUACCAGAGUUACAGGCCAAAGGGUUACUUCCAACUUAGUUUGUCGAUUCGAUGAGAUGCUUGGGGAGAAUGAUCAGUCAUAUUGAGUGUGCUUCUGUGAUAGGUGGAUCUUUCGAGCCAAAUCCCUUUACUGACAUCGCAUUAGUCCCUAUAUGGUAUGAAAGUUCAUUUAUGUCAAAGGCUUUAAAGGUUCAAUUAAUAGGGCCUAUAUGGUUACAAUUUGACUUAAAGGGGGUAAUCAAUGCUGAACAGAAUAUGAUAUAUGAUAUAUCAACAGAUUUAGUAAAAACAAAACACUCAUAAUUGCUCAUUUUCAGGUCAAUUUUUCCCCAAAAAAUCAGCUCGCGCUUCGCGCUGACAUUGUUUACCUUACAAAAUAACUAUAGUCUUGUUGGAAAACUAACAUGUACUUAAAGUUAGGUCUUCAAGACUACCGAUCCGCUCUGGUGUACAGAAUUUGGACAUGGAGAUCAUGGAUCCCCCCCCAAAAAAAAAAAAAAAGAAAGAAAAAAGUAAAACGGUUCACGAUCAUGAAAGGAGAAAUGAAAGAAUGGGGAAAAGGGUGAAAUAUGAUUAUAUUUCAAAAUAUCAUGUAGAAAUCUAUCAGCAUGAAAUUAGAUUUUGUAUUAAAAGGGUCCAAUUUUUGCUUGCUCGCAGCUCUCAAUAAAUUUUGUUCUUUAGGCUAUGUCUGGCCCCAUAGAAAAAAAAUUAGACUCAUACUUCCUAACCUUUAAGAAAAGAAAUCCCUCUUAGAGAACAAUAUUUGUGUCAGUCAUUCCCCAACCAGGAAAAUAUGAAGAAGUGAUUUCUUUGUCACUGGACAUUGUUAUUUUGAAUAUCACUAUGAUUGGUUUUGUUAAUUAAUAGUAACUACCAUGUGGCAAUGCUCAAUCAAUAUCAAGGAUUCCAGUUACCAUUGGAUGAGAAAUCUACCAUUAUACCGAUCUUUAAUUCCCUUUGACCAUUUUAUUAUAGUAGCUCAGAAAUAUAUAUAUAUAUAUAUAUAUAUAUUACAAGGUUUUUACGAUUUAUAUACUGUUAUGACUACAUUAACAAUAGUUGAAAGUGUUCAUGAAGGUUAGAAAGAAUUGCUUUAUGAUUUGGAUGGACGGUACGUUUCACUCAAAUGCUCUUCGGUAUUAUGAUAAACAUCUCUACGACACCUGACAACGCUCUAUCGGCGAAAAUUCGUGAACAUUCUCUCAUUACGGUGUUUUUCUCAUUUCAUUUUGAGUUUACGGUUGUCCCAUGGUAUAUUUGUUAUUUAUUUUUGUUAAUUUAUCAUGUGUAUUUUAUAUUGUUGUACAUAACAUACGUGGCAUUUUGUAAAGUCUUUUUUAUGUUUACUGUCAUCGGUAAUAUUUACUUAUGUAAAGUUUCAAUCUGAAGCAAAUAAAUGAGUAAAACUUAAAGUGAU